This 509-nucleotide ribosomal RNA is filed under the name uncultured bacterium. RNAcentral's name for it is "bacterial SSU rRNA". It matches the Rfam family "Bacterial small subunit ribosomal RNA", at positions 1 to 525 of the family's 1533-position model. The record is from RNAcentral.
CGUAGAGAGUUUGAUCMUGGCUCAGGAUGAACGCUGGCGGCGUGCUUAACACAUGCAAGUCGAACGAUGAUCCCAGCUUGCUGGGGGAUUAGUGGCGAACGGGUGAGUAACACGUGAGUAACCUGCCCUUAACUCUGGGAUAAGCCUGAGAAAUUGGGUCUAAUACUGGAUAUGACUGACUGUCGCAUGGUGGUUGGUGGAAAGCUUUUUUGUGGUUUUGGAUGGACUCGCGGCCUAUCAGCUUGUUGGUGAGGUAAUGGCUUACCAAGGCGACGACGGGUAGCCGGCCUGAGAGGGUGACCGGCCACACUGGGACUGAGACACGGCCCAGACUCCUACGGGAGGCAGCAGUGGGGAAUAUUGCACAAUGGGCGCAAGCCUGAUGCAGCGACGCCGCGUGAGGGAUGAAGGCCUUCGGGUUGUAAACCUCUUUCAGUAGGGAAGAAGCGWAAGUGACGGUACCUGCAGAAGAAGCGCCGGCUAACUACGUGCCAGCAGCCGCGGUAAUA